UCCGUAGGUGAACCUGCGGAAGGAUCAUUAACGAGUUAGGGUCUUUCAGGCCCGACCUCCCAACCCUAUGUUUAUUGAACCUCUGUUGCUUCGGCGGACCCGUCUCACGGCCGCCGGAGGACCGCUGCGAGGCGUCCUCUGGCCAGCGUCCGCCGAUGGCCAACCCACUAAACUCUGAAUGAAUCGUGUCAUAUGUCUAAGUCUAUGAUUAAAUUAAAGCAAAACUUUCAACAACGGAUCUCUUGGUUCUGGCAUCGAUGAAGAACGCAGCGAAAUGCGAUAAGUAAUGCGAAUUGCAGAAUUCCAGUGAGUCAUCGAAUCUUUGAACGCACAUUGCGCCCUUUGGUAUUCCGAAGGGCAUGCCUGUUCGAGCGUCAUUAUCACCCCUCAAGCCCCGCGCUUGGUGUUGGACGGCCGGUUGAGCGAUCGACCCCUCCUAAAGACAAUGACGGCGGCCUGUGGUUCCCCCGGUACACUGAGCUUUUCAUCGAGCACGUAUCGGACAAGGGCACCCGGGACCCGGUCCUCUCCUUUAACUAGGAAACUUCUAAGGUUGACCUCGGAUCAGGUAGGAAUACGCGCUGAACUUAAGCAUAUC
RNAcentral lists this ribosomal RNA (598 nucleotides) under uncultured Cladophialophora. RNAcentral's name for it is "eukaryotic LSU rRNA". The stretch from base 223 to 377 matches the Rfam family "5.8S ribosomal RNA". The record is from RNAcentral. Lineage: Eukaryota; Fungi; Ascomycota; Eurotiomycetes; Chaetothyriales; Herpotrichiellaceae.